This 981-nucleotide ribosomal RNA is filed under the name Sitophilus linearis (tamarind weevil). RNAcentral describes it as "partial large subunit ribosomal RNA". It matches the Rfam family "Eukaryotic large subunit ribosomal RNA", at positions 106 to 823 of the family's 3401-position model. Lineage: Eukaryota; Metazoa; Arthropoda; Insecta; Coleoptera; Curculionidae. The record is from RNAcentral.
AGCCCAGCACCGAAUCCCGCGUCUAACGUUAGGCGCCGGGAAAUGUGGUGUUCGGGAGGGUCCGUUAUCUCGAGGUCCGGCGACGCGUCCAAGUCCUUCUUGAACGGGGCCACAGCCCAUAGAGGGUGCCAGGCCCGUAGCGACCGUCUCCGAUCUCGAGAGGAUCUCUCCUUAGAGUCGGGUUGCUUGAGAGUGCAGCCCUAAGUGGGUGGUAAACUCCAUCUAAGGCUAAAUAUGACCACGAGACCGAUAGCGAACAAGUACCGUGAGGGAAAGUUGAAAAGCACUUUGAAGAGAGAGUUCAAGAGUACGUGAAACCGUUUAGGGGUAAACCUGAGAAACCCGAAAGGUCGAAGGGAGAAAUUCAUUCGCGUUUCGUCAUCGGCGUUCGGCGAUCGAGUGACGGAGGGGGCGUUCGCGCGCUCUCCGCGCCUUUCGCUGUUCGAUCCGGAGACGAACGCGUGCACUUUUCUCCUGGUAGGACGUCGCGAUCCGUCGGGUGUCGGUCUAAGGCUCGCGGUGGAGACCGUAGAUGUCGUUUCACGACGAUUUUUGCGGACCCGCGUGUUCCCGGCCGACUCGCUCGACGGUAUACGAAAGGUUUAAGGCCGCUUCUUAAUAAGAGAGCGUUCGACUCGUGGCAAGCGCGUCAGAUGUCGUCGGUGAUCGGACCUAGUGCCGAUCCAUACCCCUGACGACUGUUGGCCGCGAAGUUCUCGAACAGACCUUAUCGAAACCGAUCUGCGACGCUAUAGCUUUGGGUACUUUCAGGACCCGUCUUGAAACACGGACCAAGGAGUCUAGCAUGUGCGCGAGUCAUUGGGAAUUACUAAACCUAAAGGCGCAAUGAAAGUAAAAGUUCGUCUCGCACGGACCGAGGGAAGAUGAGCGGUCCUUAGUGGCCGCUCCGCAUUCCCGGGGCGUCUCGUUCUCAUCGCGAGAAGAGGCGCACCAAGAGCGUACACGCUGGGACCCGAAAGA